Molecule: ribosomal RNA, 267 nt
Filed under: Triticum aestivum (bread wheat)
Lineage: Eukaryota; Viridiplantae; Streptophyta; Magnoliopsida; Poales; Poaceae
Description: partial small subunit ribosomal RNA
Source: RNAcentral
AUGGCGUCGCCUGGGUCACGGCGGUGGGCGUACAUGCGGAUCAUGGCCGGCACCAUCUUCGGCGGUGACCACGGCUUCUACGUCAUGCACCGCAUCGAGACCUCCAACAAGGAGGGCAAGCUGGAGGAGCUUGAGAAGGGUGUGGAGCCUUCAUGGGAGUGCUUGGUCCACCCGCUCGAGCGCAUCAUCGACAGGCUGAACAUCAUUGACCACAUCAAGGACGUCAAGGACUCGCCCGACCUCUGUGCCGCCAUCGAGGAUGUCUAG